CUAAGUUAAAGACGAGAAAUAGAACGAGAGAAUAUAUUCGAUCAUAUAUAAGAGCUUGCUGUAAUAAAAAGAAAGAACCGAUUGACCAGUACACAAUUAUGGACAUUGUUAUGAAGAAAUCUAGUUUGCUGUUCUCCACUAAGAUCUCCCCAUGAAGUGGAUCACUAAGUAACAGGGAAAGCAGAGAGUAGCAAAGAUAAGGAACUUCCAUCACCAUAGCAGGACUUUUAAAGACUUUCUGUAGGUAGAGGGCAAAAGAUACCAGAAUGAAGCACUUACUAGAGUCAAAGAGCUGAAUCACAAUUCUUCUCCCAUGAGACAGGAAGAUACCUCAGAAGAAAAUGCUGCAGUCCCUGUGGGAAAACAAAGAAACAAAUCCAAGUUCUUGAUUCAGACAGGUGUAGUCUGUGAGGCAGACAGUGAUAACAAGCACAAAACCAUGCGUGAGGGGUAGGCAAGCAGUAAAGAAAAAUGUCUCAAUUUUACAAACUCAAAAUGCAAAUGGAGGAAGGACAUUGCCAUGAUGAAAUCAGCAAUUAAUUUGGUGGAAGAAAAGAUAAACUUGAGAGGUAGCUCAGCUGACCCAGAGAUGAAUAAAAAUAAAGAUUACAAUAGGAAUUUUGAGAUAUUAAAAAGAUUUACAUUGAAUGAGCAUCCAUGCCAGAGAGCAUUUGAAAAUAUGAAGUAUGUAAGUCAUGUGA
Molecule: non-coding RNA, 701 nt
Organism: Microcebus murinus (gray mouse lemur)
Lineage: Eukaryota; Metazoa; Chordata; Mammalia; Primates; Cheirogaleidae
Source: RefSeq, a predicted model, not a curated record